AGGGUGACGUUUCGAAAGCGCGCUGUAGGCCGUGCUGGGACUCAAGAGCCCGAAAACUGAUUUGAGGGGCGUCUUGACCGAAGACAAAAUAAUACCUAAGGCUUUCAUUUGACAAUACUGAACACCCCUAGAUGACCAGCUCCUGGAGACGCAAUGGAGAAUCUGAAUGUCCCCUCGCUCCCCUGGAGUCUGUAUGCUGAGAAAGGGGCUACAGACAAUAGCCAUGCACUCACCCAAAUAAGACAUUCUUCAUGAAUUGUGAUUCAACUGAAAGCCCCCCUUAAGUUUACUGUCAGGGUGCUGAUACACAGAGCUACUCCUAGAAGAUUGAGGGUACAGGGUUUUGGCCUCCUGCGUUCUCCAUGAUUCCUCACAGCACCCUGAGACGUCAGACGUGCUCAGCACUCCCUACCAGGGCUUGUUGGUUCUGUCGCCCUGGUUCAGUUUUCUUUCAUAUCAGGAAGGAGCAAGGUGGGAGGACCACCUCUCCUCCAGGCAUGGACAGAGGGCCAGAGUCCAUUCACAGCUGUGGCGGCAUCGAAAGGGAGCGGGGAAAAUGCUUAGUUUGGCGGAAAAGGGGCUUUGUGAGACUGACACAUGGCAUCUGCCCAAGUUAUGAGCUGAAGAAACAGCUUCCAUGGCCCUGCCGGAGGGACCUCUGGUUCUGCAUCAUUCUCUCCAGCCCUGAGCUUCAUCAAGAAAAUAAGCAUCAGCAGUAUCAUCUCCAAAUGAAUUGAUGGCACAUUAUGUCACCUUUCUUUCCUUCAACAUCAAAAUCAGACAAGACUAUUCUAAGGAGGGAGCAGUAAACAUUAACCCCACGUAACAGAUAAAAGACUAAAAGAGAAAUUAGAUAACUGGUUUAAGUGACACAGGGAAUCCGUCAUAACUCUGGUGACAUGGCUUCUUAUCAUGCCUGGAAUGUAGUUACUGAUUUACACGUUGUAAAUUUCUCAGUACACGAUGUACAAGUGGCUACUCCGUACUGUCUGUUUAUUCAGACUAAUAGUAAUCACGAUAAUAUGCCAGGCACAGUGGCUCACACCUGUAAUCCCAGCACUUUGGGAGGUGGAGGCAGGAGGAUUGCUUGAG
Molecule: long non-coding RNA, 1092 nt
Organism: Rhinopithecus roxellana (golden snub-nosed monkey)
Lineage: Eukaryota; Metazoa; Chordata; Mammalia; Primates; Cercopithecidae
Exons: 4
Source: RefSeq, a predicted model, not a curated record